Molecule: ribosomal RNA, 464 nt
Filed under: uncultured bacterium
Lineage: Bacteria
Description: partial 16S ribosomal RNA
Rfam family: Bacterial small subunit ribosomal RNA
Source: RNAcentral
GACGAACGCUGGCGGCGUGCCUAACACAUGCAAGUCGAGCGAAUGAAGUUCCUUCGGGAAUGGAUUUAGCGGCGGACGGGUGAGUAACACGUGGGCAACCUGCCCCAUAGAGGGGAAUAGCCUCCCGAAAGGGAGAUUAAUACCGCAUAAGAUUGUAGUACCGCAUGAUACAGCAAUUAAAGGAGCAAUCCGCUAUGAGAUGGGCCCGCGGCGCAUUAGCUAGUUGGUGAGGUAAUGGCUCACCAAGGCGACGAUGCGUAGCCGACCUGAGAGGGUGAUCGGCCACAUUGGGACUGAGACACGGCCCAGACUCCUACGGGAGGCAGCAGUGGGGAAUAUUGCACAAUGGGGGAAACCCUGAUGCAGCAACGCCGCGUGAGUGAUGACGGCCUUCGGGUUGUAAAGCUCUGUCUUCAGGGACGAUAAUGACGGUACCUGAGGAGGAAGCCACGGCUAACUACGUG